UCGAACGGACCUUCGGGUUAGUGGCGGACGGCUGAGUAACGCGUAGGUAACCUGCCCAGUGGUGGGGAAUAACUCGCCGAAAGGCGGGCUAAUACCGCAUAAGUUCCCGGUCUGAGAUGGCCGGGAGGAAAGCAUUUAUGCGCCACUGGAGGGACCUGCGUCCUAUCAGGUAGUUGGUGGGGUAAUGGCCUACCAAGCCGAUGACGGGUAGCUGGUCUGAGAGGACGAUCAGCCAGAAGGGGACUGAGACACGGCCCCUACUCCUACGGGAGGCAGCAGCGAGGAAUCUUGGGCAAUGGGCGAAAGCCUGACCCAGCGACGCCGCGUGAGGGAUGAAGGCCUUCGGGUCGUAAACCUCUUUUGUGAGGGAAGAAGUUCUGACGGUACCUCACGAAUAGGCCACGGCUAACUACGUGCCAGCAGCCGCGGUAAUACGUAGGUGGCGAGCGUUGUCCGGAUUUACUGGGCGUAAAGGGCUUGUAGGCGGUUCGUUAAGUCCGGUGUGAAAUCUCCCGGCUCAACUGGGAGGGGUCAUCGGAUACUGGCGGACUUGAGGUGGGCAGAGGAAAGCGGAA
This 575-nucleotide ribosomal RNA is filed under the name uncultured bacterium. RNAcentral describes it as "bacterial SSU rRNA". It matches the Rfam family "Bacterial small subunit ribosomal RNA", at positions 62 to 666 of the family's 1533-position model. The record is from RNAcentral.